Molecule: ribosomal RNA, 169 nt
Filed under: Agrobacterium tumefaciens
Lineage: Bacteria; Pseudomonadati; Pseudomonadota; Alphaproteobacteria; Hyphomicrobiales; Rhizobiaceae
Also listed under: 3 other names
Description: partial 16S ribosomal RNA
Rfam family: Bacterial small subunit ribosomal RNA
Source: RNAcentral
CCUACGGGAGGCAGCAGUGGGGAAUAUUGGACAAUGGGCGCAAGCCUGAUCCAGCCAUGCCGCGUGAGUGAUGAAGGCCUUAGGGUUGUAAAGCUCUUUCACCGAUGAAGAUAAUGACGGUAGUCGGAGAAGAAGCCCCGGCUAACUUCGUGCCAGCAGCCGCGGUAAU